Molecule: long non-coding RNA, 132 nt
Organism: Aethalodelphis obliquidens (Pacific white-sided dolphin)
Lineage: Eukaryota; Metazoa; Chordata; Mammalia; Artiodactyla; Delphinidae
Exons: 2
Source: RefSeq, a predicted model, not a curated record
CAGUGGCUAAGACUCCGCACUCCCAAUGCAGGCGGCCUGAGUUCAAUCCCUGGUCAGGGAACUAGAUCCCACAUGCAUUCCACGACUAAGAGUUCGAAUGCCGCAAGUAAGAGUCCUCAUGCCACAACUAAA